RNAcentral lists this ribosomal RNA (404 nucleotides) under uncultured bacterium. RNAcentral describes it as "bacterial SSU rRNA". It matches the Rfam family "Bacterial small subunit ribosomal RNA", at positions 355 to 776 of the family's 1533-position model. The record is from RNAcentral.
UGGGGAAUAUUGGACAAUGGGCGCAAGCCUGAUCCAGCCAUGCCGCGUGAGUGAUGAAGGCCUUAGGGUUGUAAAGCUCUUUCACCCGGGACGAUAAUGACGGUACCGGGAGAAGAAGCCCCGGCUAACUUCGUGCCAGCAGCCGCGGUAAUACGAAGGGGGCUAGCGUUGUUCGGAAUCACUGGGCGUAAAGCGCACGUAGGCGGACCGUUAAGUCGGGGGUGAAAUCCUGGGGCUCAACCCCAGAACAGCCCUCGAUACUGGCGGUCUCGAGUCCGGAAGAGGUGAGUGGAACUGCCAGUGUAGAGGUGAAAUUCGUAGAUAUUGGCAAGAACACCAGUGGCGAAGGCGGCUCACUGGUCCGGUACUGACGCUGAGGUGCGAAAGCGUGGGGAGCAAACAGG